Molecule: long non-coding RNA, 843 nt
Filed under: Manacus vitellinus (golden-collared manakin)
Lineage: Eukaryota; Metazoa; Chordata; Aves; Passeriformes; Pipridae
Description: lncRNA (ENSMVIG00005017121.1)
Source: RNAcentral
AUGAAGAAACUAAAGAUAUUUUCAAGGAUAAUGAAGAAACUACGGACAUUUUCAAGCUUCACACCCUUAAUUUCGAUGUUUUGGCACCCAGGAGCACAGAAAACAGGGCAUUCCUGAGCAGAAUUAAUUGCACUUAAAAGGAAAUGUGUGUGCACUGGAGAAGCUUCUCUAUCAUGGGGGACAGAAAAUCCAAAAACUGAUUUCCAGGUUUUCAGGUGCUAAAGGUGUGGUAAUUAAACAGCACAACCCAAUUUUCAUGUCACCAUCCCCAGGAAGCUCUGUGAGGACUUACAGCCUCAAGAUGGGACAAAACAAAGGCCCAACUUCCACUGAACUCCAGAAUUCAUCAACUAUCACAAAAUUAUUCCUGGGGUGGGCCCAAGAAGGGGGCUCUGAAGUCUCUUUGGAAUGGGGACCACAGGUAAAAUUAGAAGAUCCAGAAUGAAGGGACCUCAAAGCUCAUCCAGUUCCACCCCCUGCCGUGGGCAGGAACCCCUUCCACCAUCCCAGAGUGCUCCAACCUGGCCUGGGACACUUCCAAGGAAAAUCAUGUUCUGCUGAAGCCUGUUUGAGGCUGGGAAUGUUUUGUACCUGUCACACCUGCACAGUCCUUUUCUCAGGUUGGUGUUACUUUUUGGGAUCUGUAUAAACCAUAUUUCUGUAACUAUUAGUACUUAGUUAAAGGAAAGCAGAGUGUCCAUAUGGGAAUGCUGUUCUGACCCAUGGCUGAUCCCUUUUUAGCUCAGAAAACAGCACUUAAAACUGCUGAGGCUCUUUUAUACCUUCACAUGGGUCAGUUUUAAAUCCAUAUCACAAUAUAAAUCAAGAGAUACUGACUUAAGA